This 199-nucleotide ribosomal RNA is filed under the name uncultured prokaryote. Its description in RNAcentral is "partial 16S ribosomal RNA". It matches the Rfam family "Bacterial small subunit ribosomal RNA", at positions 524 to 722 of the family's 1533-position model. The record is from RNAcentral.
UACGAAGGUCCCGAGCGUUGUUCGGAAUUACUGGGCGUAAAGCGUGCGCAGGCGGUUUUGUAAGACAGGUGUGAAAUCCCCGGGCUUAACCUGGGAACUGCGCUUGUGACUGCAAGACUCGAGUACGGCAGAGGGGGGUAGAAUUCCACGUGUAGCAGUGAAAUGCGUAGAGAUGUGGAGGAAUACCGAUGGCGAAGGC